ACGGGGGGUGCAAGCGUUGUUCGGAAUUAUUGGGCGUAAAGCGCGUGUAGGCGGUUUGUUAAGUCUGAUGUGAAAGCCCCGGGCUCAACCUGGGAAGUGCAUUGGAAACUGGCAGACUUGAAUACGGGAGAGGGUAGUGGAAUUCCUGGUGUAGGGGGGAAGUGCGUAGAUAUCAGAAGGAAGAGGGGUGGCGAAGGCGGGGGCCUCAGCCAUUAUUGACGCUGAGGCGCGAACGUGUGGGGAUCAAACAG
Molecule: ribosomal RNA, 251 nt
Filed under: uncultured prokaryote
Description: partial 16S rRNA
Rfam family: Bacterial small subunit ribosomal RNA
Source: RNAcentral